This 253-nucleotide ribosomal RNA is filed under the name uncultured bacterium. RNAcentral describes it as "partial 16S ribosomal RNA". It matches the Rfam family "Bacterial small subunit ribosomal RNA", at positions 524 to 776 of the family's 1533-position model. The record is from RNAcentral.
UACGAAGGGGGCUAGCGUUGUUCGGAAUUACUGGGCGUAAAGCGCACGUAGGUGGCAUGUUAAGUUUGAUGUGAAAGCUCAGGGCUUAACCCUGAAAUGGCAUUGAAUACUAGCGUGCUGGAGGUUUGGAGGGGGGACUGGAAUUCUCGGUGUAGCGGUGAAAUGCGUAGAGAUCGGGAGGAACAUCAGUGGCGAAGGCGGCCCUCUGGACCAGUACUGACGCUGAGGCACGAAAGCGUGGGGAGCAAACAGG